CUCUGUGUUUUUCUUUUUCAUCUGACCAUGCCUUUCCCUCUUCACUGGGAUGCAGGGAUCUUGUUAACGUCUGUUGCAAGGAACAUCACGAUGUUAAGUGCGAAAAAGCACACCUUUUGCAAGAUAUUCCUUCCCGAACAAAGCGCCAGCCGAAUGAGAAUCCCUCCUGCAUAUCGGAAGCUUAUGAAAGGGACAAACAUGAGAAAUGUUUACCUAACGGGACCCAAUGGCAACUAUUGGCCAGCGAAGAUUAUCGAGGAGGGCAGCAAAUUAUCUUGCUCGAGGGUGGCCUGCAUUCGUGAAGGACCACGGCAUACAACGCGGGCAUUUCCUCUUAUUCAAGUUCGAUGGGGAGACGACAUUUAAGGUUAUGGUCUUCAGCCCCACUGCGUGCGAGGAUAAGGCUGCUUUCAGCAGCAAAUUUUCCCGAGGCAAUGGAAAAGCUGAGGUGCAAGAACGGGCUCCAUCUACUGCUACAAAUCCACAUUUCAUAGUACAUCUACAGCGUUCAAUACCUGGGCGAAGGAAUGGUCGUUGUAAGAUUUUCUUUUAGUGCCCCGAAUUGCUAAGUGCGUAUAUACAUUGUCCUCCUCGUAUUUGCAAUUGCGUUGUGGCUGCUGCCACCAUUUGUUAUCUAUCAUGGUAUUCUAGUCAGACCGACAUUAUGUUGGAUUUCCCGAAUUCUCUUGUAUUAAGACUUUUUCUUUGUUUUUUUUUUCUUCUUCUGUUGGUAGGACAUUCCGAAUUCAUUCGUCAAUGGAUGGGUAAGAGAACUAGUUCAUUCUUAAGUAAAACCAUGUAAACCUUAAAUCGGUAUUUGGUAACGAAGUUAAAUUUGAUUUAGUUUGAUUAAAGGAUAUGACGAUAAAAGUAGUCAAAAAAAGUAUGUGAGAAAAUUCGAAG
This is a non-coding RNA of Punica granatum (pomegranate), 903 nucleotides long. NCBI's taxonomy places the organism in Eukaryota, Viridiplantae, Streptophyta, Magnoliopsida, Myrtales, Lythraceae. The record is from RefSeq and is a predicted model, not a curated record.